AUAGCAUGCAGUGGCCUGAUGUGGGAUCCUAGUUCCCAGACCGGGGAUUGAACCCAGGCCACAGUGUUUUCUUCUGUUAAUCUGUCUUAUGUCAAUUUAAUUAUUAGGUCAGCUAAAGAACCCAGUUGGAGGGAAGGAGGGGUUUUCCUCCCCUUCAGGGGGUAACUCUCUCCACCAGCUCUCAGCCUCCAUCUUGGGGUGGCUCUGGUCCAGAUCCCACUGGGGUGCUACUUUGAGACAAGCUAUUUCUUUUUUUUCCCCCUGAGUCCAAAGUGAUUGUCUUGGAAACUCCCCCUCCUCCUUUGGCAAAACAAGCGACAACAAACAAUACCAAAAUGAAAAAGUGGGCCCUGUCUCUCUUUGUGAACUGACAUACUGCAUUCUGGAUCACUUGUGAGGAAGCACAUUACCAGCCAUUCCUGAUCUCCAGCUUAUCUAGCGUCAGCCUCUCCUGAGGAGGGAACCACACUUUGAGAUCCGUGGCCCGAUAGAAAGCUGCAUAAACUCCAUCAGUUUAUCACUAGUGUAGUAAAGGGAACCCUACUGGUAACUCUGCACUGUAGAAAAUCCCUAUGGCAUCACGCAUGCACGGGGAACCUCUUGCCAGCUCCUACCCACCUGGAUGCACAAGUCCAGCCUAAGGAGGUGUUGGGGGUCUCCAAGCUUUGCAUCUUCCCUGAGCCUAGAGGUUUAAAGUUUCCUUUCUUCUUGUUCUUGCUGAAUCAGAUUAAAUAAAGAAGCAUUAGCAAUACAAAGAAUUUAAUGGAGUGGUUAAUGGUGCGGGUGAUGUCAAUAGGAAUUUGGCAGCAUCUGUGAGGAUAAUCGGAGAGAAAUAAUCAAGAGUUGACAACCCUUCUUUCAGAAAGCAAAAUUGCCUGGUUCUGGUUAGACCAGUUGUUAUUGGCUUCCCUGCCUGCAAAAAUGUCACAGUAAUUCCAAUGGAGCUGUUUACACAAGUGGAAAUAUCUGACUCCUUGAUAACAUGUUUCAGUUGCAAACCCUUUAAUGACAUUCAGAGGCCUUCCAGUAAGAGAGAAAUUUCCUCCCAACUAAGGGAGCAGUUAUCUGGAAACAGUGCCCUUCCUCAGUACGGUUAUUUAUGUUCAUUGGGCUAAUGGUUUUUGUCCAGUAAUACAUUUAAAUUGCUUUUCAUUUUAUAGUUAUGCUUUGCUAUCACAUUUCAGAAAGUGGCUUCUCUUCCUCUGUACAGCCGGCAAUUUCCUCAAGUAUGCGAUGACAGCAUUGUCCUUUCGAAGUCAUUUGAAAUAGACUCGGUCUCAGCCACCUCUCAGGAGAAUAUUCUCUGGCUGAUAAUCAUAGCCAAGCGGAAAGUACAAAUGAUCUCAGGCCGCCUGAAGUUCCUUUUUCUCUCUGGUUCCCUGGAGGCCCAGGAGGGUGAGGGUUCGCCUGUAGAUCUGGGAAGGAGCCCUGUAUUCAGCCUCUCAUGUUACCCAAAAAACCAGCCCCCAACUUGGAUAUUAGAAGUGUAAAGAUGGGGAGUUCCCAUCGUGGCUCAGAGAAAACGAAUCUGACUAGUAUCCAUGAGGACACAGGUUCGAUCCCUGACUUCGCUCAGUGGGUUAAGGAUCCGGUGUUGCCAUGAACUGUGGUGUAGGUUGCAGACACACCUCGGAUCCUGUGUUGCUGUGACUAUGAUGUAGGCUGGCAGCUGUAGCUCCAAUUCGACCCCUAGCCUGGGAAUCUCCAUAUACCACUGGUGAGGCCCUAANUGGAAUUUGCUUAUUUGCUUAUAGUGGAUUAAGGAACAAGCAUUGUCACUGCAGUGGCUUGGGUCCUGCUGUGGCACAGGGUCAAUCCCCGGCCCAGGAACUUCCAUAUGCUGCAGGCAUGGCAAGAAGGAAAAACAAUGAAAAAUAAAAAAAAAAAAAGAAGUGUAAGGAUUGAGAGGAGACACUCUGCAAAUGAUUUAUAAACUGAGUCAUAUUUAUCAGGUGUGGAUGACAAAGAAAGGGGGCUCUGUAGAAACAAAUAAAAUUAGAUUUAUACAGCUUUGUAGCAAAUAUUUCUCAAUAAAACUUGACAGCUCACGGGCAGUUUAGAAAAAAGAGUAUUCUUUUAAAACUGGAGGAAAAAAGGUAGAUGUAGCUGUGGAAUGAAUUUGAAGCACAGAAUUCUAUUUAAACAUAUUGGGUAAUAACUGUAACAUAAGUGCUAUCAAAUACUAACUUUUGAAAAACAGAGGUAAAAAACUUACAUGAAAAUGGAUCAUGUGUCUGCCUGAUUUUCAAGCUGAGAAUUGUGUGU
This 2265-nucleotide long non-coding RNA is filed under the name Sus scrofa (pig). RNAcentral's name for it is "lncRNA (ENSSSCG00030008430.1)". Lineage: Eukaryota; Metazoa; Chordata; Mammalia; Artiodactyla; Suidae. The record is from RNAcentral.